UUUUUAGAGAGUUUGAUCCUGGCUCAGGAUAAACGCUGGCGGCGUGCUUAACACAUUCAAGUCGAACGGACGAUUCCCCUUCGGGGGAAAAGUUAGUGGCGGACGGGUGAGUAAUGCAUGAGCAACCUGCCCCUCAGAGAGGAAUAACACAGAGAAAUUUGUGCUAAUACCGCAUAAAAUAUUUUGGACGCAUGUUUGAAAUAUCAAAGGAGAAAUCCGCUGAGGGAUGGGCUCAUGUCUGAUUAGAUAGUUGGUAGGGUAACGGCCUACCAAGUCUGCGAUCAGUAGCCGGACUGAGAGGUUGAACGGCCACAUUGGAAC
Molecule: ribosomal RNA, 321 nt
Filed under: Clostridia bacterium
Lineage: Bacteria; Bacillati; Bacillota; Clostridia
Description: bacterial SSU rRNA
Rfam family: Bacterial small subunit ribosomal RNA
Source: RNAcentral